Leptonychotes weddellii (Weddell seal) is the source of this 1468-nucleotide non-coding RNA. NCBI's taxonomy places the organism in Eukaryota, Metazoa, Chordata, Mammalia, Carnivora, Phocidae. The record is from RefSeq and is a predicted model, not a curated record.
ACAUUCGUGGCUUAGAGACACACGGAUGUAUUUUCUUACAGGUCCCCAGUCUGAAAUGGGUUUCACUGCGCCAAAUUCAAGGUGUCCGCAGGGCUGCAUUCUUUUUGGAGGCUCUACGGGAGAAUCCACUUCCUUGCUUUCUCCAGCUUCUAGAAACUCUGCUUCCCGUGGCUCAUGGCCUUCCUUCAUCUUCGAAGACAGCAGGGCCGGCAAGCCACGUCCUUCUCCUACUGCCAUCUCCACUCUCUCCUGCCUCUCCUCCAUGCUGAAGGACACUUGCUAUUACAUUGGGACCCCUCAGAAAAUGCAGGAUAAGCUUUCUAUGUUAAAAUCAGCUGAUUAGCCGCCUUCAUCGCAUCUGCUACCUUCGCUCCCCUCUGCCAAGUAAUGUGACCUAUUCCCCGGCUGCAGGCAUUAGGACGUGAACACAUCCAGGGGGAGGCACCAUUCUACCUACCACAGGAGAAGCUGCAAGAGCAGCAAGCCCCAAGAGCAAAAAGGAUGCACUGGCUUGGACGCUUAAGGGAGAGUCCCAGACUGUGCCCUCCCACCCUCGGCAGAGCCUGGCCUUUCCCAAGAGCAGGGACGUCUGAUCUCGAGCUAGUGCCGGAGCCAGAGGGAGCCUCUCAGCUCAUCUGUUCCUUACCUGGGGACAAAGCUGGAUGGACUGAAAGGAAAAAACGCACGUGGAAGCUUCCUGCUACAUGGCAAUGGCUCCUGGCCCAUUACCUCAUCCUCAAAGCUAGCAAAAUUGGGCCAACUGUUUUCUCUGGGGGAGCACUAACCCGUAUCACAUCAUGACAUCUAGCCUACCUUCUUGGAGUUAAACUUCCUUUCUUUUACAAAAUCAUGUUGAUACUAGAGGGCAGUUCGUGUAUACCUACGGUGGAAUAAAUGAUCGGCAUCUGCGCAGUAAGGGUUUAACUCAGCAGGCCUGGGUUGCUCGGAUGCUGCACGUUCCAAAGAAAGGACUGGCCGGCCCUUGACCACUUCUUGGGAGACAGAUAACCUCUGAGCCUCUGGAAUAUCCCGCCUAAUAGCAGCUUCUGUGUGUCUGGGGCCCUGGGCCGCACUGUAUUGGUUUGCCCAGCCGGGUGACAGUAACAAUAUGACUUAUGGAGAAUUCUUGUUUGGGAACGCUGAAGGCCCCAGGCCAUGCUGUAUCAGUGGCCCUCUUGGGGCCCGGAGACUGAGCGGCUAAGGUCAGUCACACUGGUGCUGCGUUCUUAUGUGACCAACAUCCAAUAAAAACUCUGGACACCAAGGCUCGGGUGAGCUUGCCUGGCUGGUACUCUGCACGCGUUCUUGCACUUAGCGCUGGAAGUAAUCCUGUCCCAUGUGACCCCACUGCCUGGGGGUGGAGGCGCACCCGGCAGCUCAUGCCUGGGGGCUCCUGGGGGUUCUUGGACGCUUUUCUCUCCACUGAUGUGGCUCUAUAUCCUUUCAUUAAAAUAAGUGGUAACUGCGA